Hylaeus anthracinus is the source of this 6418-nucleotide RNA transcript. It is a transcript of the gene named transmembrane protein 234 homolog, with no coding region annotated. Lineage: Eukaryota; Metazoa; Arthropoda; Insecta; Hymenoptera; Colletidae. The transcript has 5 exons. The record is from RefSeq and is a predicted model, not a curated record.
GUGAUCACCAUCACCAUUCGUUACCGACUCUGCUGGUCUUUGAGGUUGGGUGUAGGGAGUUGUUUAGAAAUUAUUUAUUUAUUAUAACAAAUGAUUUAGGAACAAUUGCUUCUUGUAAUAUUACGCUCUAAAUAUUGCCACUUUUUAUAUUUUUUUUCUGAUAUCUCUUUUUCCUCCCUUAUUUACUGACCAGCAAAGUGUCUUCGCAAUUUUUAAGGUUAUAUUUACUAUUUUCGUAACCUUGUGCUCCAUAUUCUUGAAAUAUUGUAUACUACUUAUACAGAACGUAAAUCGUGUGUUAUUAGUCAUCAGAUAUUCCAUAAGAAUACCAUUAUCAUGUCAGUAUCAUUAGAUUCUAUCUUAAAUCUUGCCCUUGUGGCAUUCUUGUACGGCGUAACCAAUCCAUUUAUCAAAAAAGGAGCUCAAGGUCUAGAAAAUGUAAAAUCAUCUUCGAGAUUUGGUCAAUUCUUUAAUGAAUUGGCAUUCCUAGUUACAAAACUGAAGUAUAUUGUACCAUUUAUCAUCAACCAGUGCGGUUCUAUAUUAUAUUUUUUAACUCUGAGUAGUACAGAUAUAUCACUGGCUGUUCCAGUCACUAAUUCACUUACCUUUGUGGUAACUGCGAUAACGGGUUGGUUUAUGGGUGAAGAAAAAAUACACAGAAAUACAUAUAUUGGAAUGGCAAUGGUACUGAUCGGGACAUUUCUUUGCUGCUGGGAUAAAAUAGAUGAAACUUUAUAGUUAUAUUGUAUUUAUAUAGGUGUAAAAAUACAGUUAGAGUCACAAAUGAACAAAUCACAAACACCAAUAACUAAUCGAGUAUCUUUUAUUUCUCGGAUGGAAUCGAAAUGAACGCGAGCGAAUCGAGUGAAAGGGACCAAAGCAAGCACAAGAAAAUUCAGUAGAAUCGAAUUGAAUGGAAACAUGAAUGAAUAUUAUGCAGGUGGUGUGGGUGGAAUGGAAUUAAAGGCUGAAGUCAAUUAGAUGUAGGGGACUCUGAGCGGACAAACUGAAUUAAAAUAGUUCUAAAAUAACUUGAUGCUUUUUAGCUAGAUAAGAAUUUUGCUCACUUUUAGUAAACAAUAUCCGUCUUCGCUCACGCGUUUUCUAUCGCAUUGUUCUCUCGGUACGGCCAUGGUUCCAAUGUACUGUUAAUUCUAUCACGCGUUUGGCCCCUUGUCCGCUGCAGGAAGGAAAACGAAUUCGUGCCCAACACGUGAACGCAAAAAUCGUCAUACAUCGCUGCCGACGACGUACCGUUUCACGUAAUUGAAAAACCACGGAAGCGCAAGCUUUCAAACAACAACCGUCGCAACGAAUUCGAACCCCGUGCACAGUCUUAUCUGAGAAUCACCCUGAACCAGGGCUGGGGAACCUUUCUAGCAUUGGGAGGUCAUUUGUCACUUUGUGAAUUUUUUAUAACGUAGUACACGACGUGUAAAGUAUUAAAAAAUAUAAGAUGACAGUUGCAUGUAUCAGGGUGUUUCAGAAAAUUCGUGUUAAUUACAGUCCAUGUUAGCAAAUAAGAUGAAACAUUGUCGACUCUUGAGGUUUCUUCAAUGAUUAAGUUGUUUGGAAAAUAUUAAAUAUUUAAGAACACUUAAGAAAUGAAUUAUUUUUGAAAUUCAAGUCGUGAUAUCGUUAACUGAUACAAGCUCACGGUAUUCAAAAUGAUGAUUUGGUUAGUUCCUUAUAUAUAUUAUUAGCACAUAGUUCACAACCUCGUGUUUGUAUUAUUAAGUGUUUCUCUACAUAAUCCUCAAACAUUGAAGAGCGGACGAUCAAAGUCGAAAAUGUUUUACCUUGUUAUAUAGACUGAUUAAUAAAUAAAAAAAAUGCCUAAUUUUUUCUGAGACAUCCUAAUAAAUUAAUGUUAAAAUACAUGCUUCUUCAGAAUGUGAAAUUUCCUAAGCGAAGAAGAUACAGGAUAGACAAAAUAAGCGAAAGGGCUUGGAGUACCUCAAAGUAUCACAGGUUCCCCAUCCCUGCCCUAAACGAAAGACGCGAACGUUCCUCUGUUGCGAACAGGCAACGCCCACAAUUCUUAUAUAUAAUUAACUUGCUCGUACAGAAACGAAGACCGUCGAUAUUGGAACGCUGAUCAGGUGUUCAAAGUAUCGUGUUGCUUUCAUUUAUCGUUUAGUAUGUACUUUGGUAAAACGGUUGUUCUAUGGGCAGGGAAUCUCCAGGCUUCCAGAAAAGAUACAGUGGGUGUAGAAUGUAUUCGUACACCGAUCAAUUUCCCAAAAAACUUUUGUGUGAAAUUAUAGUUUCUUAACUUCAUUUUUUAUAGUCAAUGGUAUUUUAUUAAGUUCUCCCAAAAGUUUCUUUCGUCAGUUGCAUUCAAUUAUUUUCUGUGACAGUGUUUAUAUAAAUAGACAAUCUAAUUUCUUAGACAUUGAUGUUGUAACAGUAAUGAAGCGAAAUGAAUUGUACACAAUUUUGUAAUGUAAUAUAAAACAUAAAAUAUUGUGUAUGAAUUAAUUAUUAAUAAAACGAAAGAAACUUUUGGGACAACCUAAUGCAUAUUCUUGGAAAUCUCUAAGAUAGAUAUAGUCCAAACAACAUUUACUAGUUAAUAUAAUUUGUGAAAUUAACAAAACAAUGCGAAAAGUGGGUGAAAGUAUAGAAGCGAUAAGUAUUUGGACGAUUUUUAUGACAAACCAUUUACAGUAGAGUUUGUAACGUAAACACAUUACUUUACUGCUUCGUACGAAUUAGAAAACAUCAAAUUUCCAGUAAAGUACUUUUAAAAAUGGCUCUAAUAGAGGAAUUGAAGAAGAUCCCACUUCGAAUAACUAAUAAUUAGACUGCGGAACUUUAUGUAAAAUAAAAUCUUUGCAAACAUGCCUACUAAAAUUUAACUUAAAUAGGACUUUAUUUUAUUCUCCAAAUAUUAUAACAUGAGUUUUACUUUCAAUCUUUUUUAUAUUCUUCCAUAUUGUUUCCAUUUUGUAGUUUCUUGCGCAUUCAAAUUUCCUAUAAAUGUAUAAAGAUUCGCAGUCUACUAAUAAUUUAGUUAAUUUAAUGCUUAGAAAAGUUACAAUAAUUAUAAAAUCAAAAGGAAAUCCCACGAAGGAAGUAUUAUAUACUUGUAAAUUAAUGUAAAUUUCUUCUUUGUUUGAAUGAAGUUUUAAAAAUUAGACAGUUGUGCGAAUACUUAUUGCUUCAAUAUUUCUAUCGAUUAAUUGUUUCUUUCUUGUUAAUUUCGCAACUUAGAUAAAUAGCUGUUUUUUUAUAAUCUAUCUAUUCUAGAGAUUUCCGAGAAUAUGUAGAAUGUCAUUGUUUAUAUAAAAAUAAGUUAAUAAAUUACAAUUUUACACAGUUUCUUUGGAAAUCGAUCGGUGUACGAAGACUUUCUACACCCACUGUAUGGGAUGUCUUCUGAAGAUUUCCAACCGAGAUGAUCAAGCAUCGACGAUACCAGGAACUAUUAGUCGCGUGUCAAUGGAUCGACACGUACGAAUUGAAUCCGAAGGAGAAAAAUGAAGUAAAUACAGGACGGAUAUGUUUAACCUCAGAGCUAGAGACAUUAUCCUAUACAUCUUCUAUGACGAUAAAAUACCUCUUUUGCUACAACGCGCGAGUCGAAGGCUUCCAACGUCCACACCUUGCGAAAGGAAUAAUAUCCUCAGGACUGUAAACCUUGACAUCGAAGUCGAGUAUGAAAAGACGUCGCGCUGGUCUCUUUAUCAGCCAUUUGCCACCACGCAAAUUCCCGUUUCCCGGAUAUGUUCGAUUAAACUAGAUACACGCAUGAUUUUCGUUUGGAGCUUACGCUGGUUGAUCGUCGCGACGUCUUUUUAUUUCUGGAUCCUAUUGAUACAGCGAUCCGUCGUGUUUUUCUCCAUGCAUGUACGUGCAUGUACACGGAACGUUGCACACGUCGAGUAAACGUUAGUGAUAUCUCUUUUACAUUACAUUUACAUACAUUAAAGCUGCACCUUUACGUGUAUACGAAUACACAUCUAACGUAAUUAUGUACAAUGACGUUACAACCCCAGGGAUCUAAUCCACAGCGGAUACUUGAGGUCCGAUUUAUCUUGACUCGAGGUCGAUUUUUUCGGUCAGAAGAGAUUUGUUAUUUUCAUUUUUAAUUGGGAAAUCAACAAAACUUUAUUUUUACACCAAUCGCUGAUCAAUUUUUCUAACAUUCUUUUGUAAGAAUCUACGGACUAAGGAGACCAAGAUAUAUGUAGAUCAUUAAAUAUGAUCUAGAGUCAGAGAAGGCUGUCUAUUCCUGGGUUAGCUUCACGAUUGAGCUUCAUGAUUCAGUGUUUUCCGUGAAGAGGAGAAAUUGUUAUGUGUGUGAAGUUAGACCCGCACUUUUCGAAUUUUUAGUUUUUCUUUCUUGUGCCGUAUUGUGCUAUAUUUGUGCUGAAUUGUGCUGUAAAUAAGAGAUCGAUAACAUCAAUAACAAUUAAGAAAAGAAAUAAGCGAAACAAGCCGAAGCUGUCGGCAUAGAUCAAACAAUGUGGGAACUCCAUGAUAAAUGCACACUUUCAAUCCCGAGCUUGUGCAUUUAUCGAGGCAUUACUGCACUCCGCUACCCGCGAGCGCGUGCGAAUGCGAAUGCAAGUUCUUAACGUCUGAUUUCUAACUUUGCUAACGCUGCGAAAUCUGGCGAUCUGACGAGAUUUUGUAAUUAGGAAUAGUUGUUGUGCUAGUCUAGCAGGAUCCGGCACAAUCAAAGUAAAUUCGGAAAUAUCAAAAUUUUUAAUCACCGCCACCUUUUUUUGUUAAUUUUUAUCGACCUUCGAGCUAAUCUCAAAUUUUAACGCACGUGUCUCGUGUAUUGUAAGUAGCACAAUUUAGCACAACUUGCAGAAUUCGAUUAUUUGUCGCCGUUCGUAAAUUGUACGAAUAUUAAAUUGUUUAUUCCUUAAAAUUCAACAUUUUUUUAUGUGCAAAAUGAGUAGAGAUAACGAGUUUCUAUCAAUGGUACAAUGUAGCACAAGUUAGUACGCAUCUUUCUAUAGAAAAAAAGUUUGUUUCGGCAAAAGUGCGGGGCUAGUAUAGUUUUGGUUUUAUUUCUUUUCUUAAUUGUUAUUGAUGUUAUCAAUUUCUUAUUUACGGCACAAUUCAGCACAAAUAUAGUACAACACGGCACAAGAAAGAAAAACUCAAAAUUCGAAAAGUGCGGGGCUAACUUCACACACAUGAAAUUGUUAUUUAUAGAAGCUUAGUUAAUAUCAAUAUUAUUUUUAAUGUUUGCAUAUGUAAUUCAAAUUACGCUCGUUUUUAUAGUCAACCCAAAGGCCAUCUAUCGGUGAGAGGGUCGAACUAAUUUUUGGAGUUUGGUCAGCGCCUCUAUCGGGAAAAUGCUCAAGUUUGUCCUCAAUAGUUCCCUUUUUCACCGUUAGAUGGCGCCAUUUAUAUGGUAAUUACCGACAUGAUGGUAAUGUAUCGACACGUGUCGGUAAAAAAAAACAGCGUAAAUGGCGCCAUCUAGCAAUAAAAAGAGGAAUUAUUGAGGACAAACUUGAACGUUUUCCCGAUAGAGGCGCUGACCAAACUCCGAAAAUUAGUUCGACCCUUUCACCGCUAGAUGGCCGUUGGGUUGACUUUAAAAACGCGCGAAAUUUGAACGUAUUAUGCGACCAUUAAGAGCAAUUUCUUGUGCUAAUUGUUAAAAUACCGCCUGGAAAGGUGAAUCGAGUCAGAGAAAUCGGACCUUGAAGAAGAAACUAGUCUUGGUCAUUCGCCUUGGCGACCAGCCGGUCUCGAGGAAGCUUGUAAAGCUUCCGUCUUCGCGGAAAUCCACUUUCAUCGGGCGAGCGCGUUGAUAAAUGGGGCUUGGCGUUUCGCGAAGACUUUCAACUUCAACUCUACGAUAUUGUACCGCAAGAAAAGCCGUACUUUCUUAAGGAGACACGUUGAGUGCCAAUUUUCUUUCACUUUUCGCUCGGGCCGCUUGAGCUGUGGUCCAAAUCGGUUAGAAAACAAACAAAGGAGACACUUAUGAAAUGAGAAAAUACCGCGUAGAAAUUUACAAAAUUUUUAAAUGUUUGAGCGAAAGAUGGAGCGAAAAUUGAAUGAAAAACGUUGCAAAACUUUGCGAGGGAAACUUUUGUGAAGCAUAAACGAAAAGUGAGCGACAGCACUCAACCUGUCGAUACUUCGAUUCGAAUUCAACACUUGUGCGAUAAUCAAGCGCGUGUAAUAAAUUCUGAAAGCUCUCCGAGUAAGGCUACGGUUACCAUGGAUGCGAAUUCGGACAAAAAUAUGUUCGGACGAGUUCUGACGAAUUCGUCUGAACAAACAAACGCCUAUUUUUCAAUGGGAGUGUUUACAGUGGCAACGAUAAACAUGUCAGAACAUUUACGACGGCGUCAGAACUAGUUGAGGAUUCAAACAAGUUUGAUUUUUUCGUGCGACCUGCGUCUAUUCUUUUAGUCAGUAUGUUUCUGCCGCCCAG